CUGAUACCUGAGCUCACCAACCAGCUAAACACUCCCUUUGUUUCCUUUUGGAGCCGCCUCACCAUUCCCUUUACUGGACAUCCCCAAAAGAUUGUUCAGUUCUUAAAUCCCUUGUGUGGUGGUAAGAGGUCUGGGAAGUUUCUGGAGGGAAGAAGUGGUUUCUGUGGGUGUGAUCUGGUGGACACCCAACUGGAAGCCUCUUUGGAAACCCCGGGAAACCCCCAUGGGCUCUUGCCAGGCCCUCUGCCCUCCUGUUCCCAGUCUACUGCUGACUCCACACUUAGCAACCACUCACUUCAACUCCCGAGAAGACUGGCCCUUCAGAAGAGACAGGAAAAUAUCUGUGAGGGGAAUCCCUCAACUCCAGAGCUACCAGGGGAUCUUCCUUCGCCCUUCACUGUGAGAACCUGCUGAGGUCCCUGAAAAUACAGUCCGUGAAAGUGCAGGGGCCACCUGAGACUGUGAUUCCCAGGAGUUUCUCAUUCAAGUCCAUACUCAGCCUCCAACAAAAUUUAUCAAAUUUACUGUGUAAAGGUUCUGUCUACUUUAUGGCUUGAGUACCUUCUGCUUCAGCUUACAGAAAUGAUGCCAUAGAAAAACAAGCACAUUCAAGAUAUGGGACAUGCUGUGUGUCUACCAUUCUAGACUUCUCCAAAUUGCAGUGCCAUAAAUGAGGAUGGGGAUAUUCUAAAUUUUGAAACAAGGACUAAAGAGACAUAACCAAAUGCAACGGGUAAACCUUGACUGGAUCUUGAAUUAAAAAGUCAUUUUAAAGACAACUGGUGAAAUUUUAAAUUUAAGUAUUAGCUGAUACUAUGGAAUUAUUGCUAAUGUACAUGUGGUUAUAUAGGAUAGUGUCCUUAUCCUUUGGAAACACAUAUUGAAAUAUUAGGGUUGAAAUAUUAAUACAUGAUGUCUGAAGCUUACUUUCAAAUGCUUUCAAUGAAAAUAUUUGGUCAAACACUAUUCUAGAUGUUUCUGUGAAAGUAGUUUUUGAUGAGAUUAACAUUUAAACCACUAUACGAAUGUUAAAUUUCUCUAUAUAUGUUUCCAUAGUUAUCUAUGUUUCUCUCUCUCUCCAUAGAUAUGAGAUAGAUAAAUAUAAGUUUUGUUUCUCUGGGGAACUCUAAUACAAUACCCUUCUUUCAACUUUUCAGUAUGUUUGAAAUUUUUUCUAAUGAAAAGUUAGGGAAAAAAUUUAAUUCAGAUAAUUUUUUAAAAACAUUCAGGAGUUUUUAAAAACAUUUUCCUGAUCUAGCCAAUGCUGACAUUCAGGAGUUAAGUGCGUUAUUUUGUAGCUCAUAGCUAUUCUUCUAGGAGAGAAAAUUAGUCUUAAUGGAGAAUAGUCUGAGGAGCCUAGCCAACUAAAAAUAAGCAUCACCUGUUAGUUUGCAAAUAUUUUUGAGAAUUUAUUGUCUUAGUGGCUAUGCUCAGUCCUGGGAAAAGAGUGGUAAGCCACCCAGAAGUAGUCCUUUCUAACUUCUUCCUGUGUCACUGUGUGUCCCAUACUUGGCAAGCCAAGUUCAUUUGGGUCAAAGUAGAACACAUCUAACUAGUUCUUGAUUUUAAGAGAAUCUACAGGUUUUCUGAUCAGGGAGCCUGUAUUGAUGAUAUAGCCACUUCGGUGAAAGCCAACAGUGACAGCUUCAUAUUUCAAAAGUCAGACAACUCCAGUGAACAUGAUAUAAACUCUUUUCUUCCUCUGUUUGUUCCUCUGUGUGGUGUUCCUCACACCAACACAGAACACAUUUAGAAAGCUUAUUUAAAAACAUGUCAAGUUCUCAGAGAGAGAAGAAGAAUGGUUACCAGAGGCUGGGAAGGGAAAUGGAGGUGGGGUGGGGGAGUGGGGAUGGGGAUGGUUAAUGAGUACAAAAAAACUAGUUGGAAAGAAUUAAUAAGAGUUACUAUUUGAUAGCACAACAGGGUGACUAUAGUCAAUAAUAAUUGUACAUUUUAAAUAACAAAAAGCACAUGAUUGGAUUGUUUGUAACACAAAGAAUAAAUGCUUGAGGGGAUGGGUACCCCAUUCUCCAUGAUGUGAUUAUUACACAUUGCAUACUUAUUUCAAAACAUCCCAUGUACGUGCACCCCAUAAAUAUAUAACCCUACUAUGUACCCACAAAAAUUAAAAAUAAAAAAAUUUAAAAAUAAGAAAAUAAGUUCUGCUUUGGCCAUAAUAAACAUUUAUCCUGAUGCCUUAAACACUAGACAACUCAGCAGAUUACAUGAAACUACUGUGCUCAAACACUGGACAGUAGGAAGCACAGUAUUUUUAUCUAUGAAAGAAGAGAAACGAACAAGGCAGAUCCUAUGAUAACCCAGAUUUCUGUGUGGGGCACUUUCUAGACCACCCAGCCAGGGAAAAAAAUCCCCAGCAAAACAUGAUAAACUUGCUGAAUUGAGGAGACAGACAUGGAAGGCCAUGGAGUCUGAAGAGGCCAGAGGUGUAAGGCAAAUGUUCAGACAGGAGCAAGCUAUGCGGAACAAAACUUCAGAAGUUUGUAUAGUAAUUUCCUUGAGUUUUUAGUGAACUCUAAGCUAUGAACAAAAGCUAUAGAGUGAGACUCUAUAAAGUCAAGCAAAGAGUGACUAGAAGCUGUGAAGUGAACAGUUCUCAGAGAGCCUGUAGUGCUGGGAAUUCAUUUGGGUUCCCUAAGCCAGCAUGGAGAGUGCUGUCCUGUUUGAUAACUCAGGGCAUCCAGUAGAGACCCCAUAAAUUACUCCAUACAAAUGGGGCUACACUCUUGGUAGAGUAAAAACUAGUCUAGAUAAACCCUAACAAAGCUUAACAAUAGCCUCAAAAAAAUCAACCUGAACCCCAAAUAACCUAACUGGCUACCUAAGAGAACACAGUUCAACAUUCUUCUCAAGGCAAAUACUACCCAAUGAUACCCAGAUAUUCAAUGACAGAAAAUUCAUAAAUUCAGUGUCCAAUAAAAAAUUACUAGACCAGGCCAGGCCUGGUGGCUCACACCUGUAAUCCCAGCACUUUGGGAGGCCAAGGCAGGAGGAUUGCUCGGUCCAAGAGUUCAAGACCAGUCUGGGCAAAAUAGUGAGAACUUGUCCCUAUUUAUUUUUUAAAAAUUACUAGACCAGCCAAAAGCAGGAAAAUGUGGCCCAUAACCAAAAGAAAAAUCACUUACUAGAAAGAGAUUUUAAAGAAAGACAACUUUAAAACAACUGUUGGGCCAGGCAGAGUGACUCACACCUGUAAUCCCAGCACUUUGGGAGGCAGAGGCAGGCAGAUCACUUUAGCUAGAAGUUUGAGGCCAGCCUGGGCAAUAUAAGGAGACCCCAUCUCUACAAAAUCUACAAUAAUUAGCUGGACAUGGUGGCAUGCACCUUAGUCCCAGCUACUUGGGAGGCUGAGGUCGGAGGAUCACUUGAGCCUGGGAAGCAGAGGUUGCAGUGAGCCAAGAUCACACCACUGCACUACAGCCUAGGCAACAGAAUGAAACCCUGUCUCAAAACAAACAAACAAACAAACAAAAAGCUGUUAUAACUAUGCCCAGCAAGUUAAAGGAAAACAUGAACAUAGAGAAGCUAUGAGAAAGAAUCAAAUGGAACAUGUAGACAUGAAAACUAACACAUCUGAAAUAAAGCUGACAUAAUUCCACUCCCACCUUUCACUAACACAACACACUCUUCCUCAAAAAUCCCUGUAAGAUCAAUGGUUUGCUCUGCUUGACAAGACUCCUCCCUUACUAAGGUAAUAAAUCAAUUCAAAUUUGGGGUUUUAUAUUGAUUUUCAGUGGUGGUCUCAUAUUUUGACAACUAUGAGGUUCCACCAAGGUUAUUUUGAUGACUCUAACUUAAAAAUAAAUAAAGGUGUCCUCAUCAGGUCCCUUUGUGUCCAGAUUUCAUUUAUCCUUUGGAUUUGUUCCAAGUAUAUUUGUCUCAAUAUUGAUCUGUACUCUGACUCUCAGUGAGCAUGUAUUGUUGAGUUUGUUAAAUGAGGAUUCCUAUCAAAAUAGUUCUUUGUAGAUGGCAUUGUCAAUAUUUUGGCCAUUAAUUUCAUUAUUCUUCAAGCGUGUGCUUGUUUUGCUUUAGUGCAUCUACUAGUACAGAGUCUUGGCUUAGGACUUUUUUUUUUUCCUGUUUCUUUGUCUUUCAUAGUCAUUUUAUUUCUUGGAUAUAUAAGGGGGUUCUACAUAGGGAAUGAACAAAGGAAUAAGUCCAUUCAGCCUCCAAUUCAAUCCAAGUUGAGUCCAAGGACUAUGAAUUAGAGGUCCAGUAGACAAUGACAAAUUCAUGAUCAAACUUUGCCUUUUGUCCCCUAAACACCUUCAUAGGGACACUUCCUCUUUUAUCAAUUAAUGAAAGGCCAUUUUGUUUAGUCCAUAUGCCAGGGUAAAAAAUUGUCAUGUCAUUCAUUGCAUAGUCCCUUCUUAGCCCCAGUUGGUAGGUAACCCGAGAUGCUAUUCUUUAGCAUAUAUUUUUGUUUGACUAUAAUGGCUUCUUUCUUGUUUGUCAUGAAUUUUUCUAAAUUAAAGUCAUAACUUCUUACUGGCAGAACUACUUUUUAUAUGAAUUCUCACUAAAAUACUAACUCACGUGCUCACCCUAGUACAGCAAAAAUAUUUUUAACUCAAAGUAGCAAUGAUUACCUUGGGGGACAUUCUGAUAGUCAAAAUUAAUACAUUUAAGCAGAGCUCUAGAAAAAUGAGGAAAACUAAUAAUAUUCACAAUUCAGUAGUCAACUUCUUUGGUGUGUCGAGACCUCAAAACAAACAGUUGAUGAGAAGAUAGUCUCUUUCAAAGACUCUCUAAUUUCCUAUCAUUCAAGCCUUCUGAAACUAUGCUCCGUAUAUAGAUGAUAUCGAAUUCUCAUCACUCAGUCAUAUUCUUUCAAUUCCUUCUACUCCUGGUCUCCUAAAUGUCUAAAUGUGAUACCCUUUCCUCAGGACUUUUCUCAGAAAAGGUCAUUGUAUAGUAUUCUCCUUAGACUUGCUAGAACAGAAAGCAGGAUCAAUAGAAGCUGAAUUUAAACCUUGGUCUAGAGCAUCAGUAAGACUAACACAAAUUCGCUGCAGAAUUUGGAAUUUUGUUAGAUAGACAUUAUUUUGGACUAUUUAAUUUAUAUAGCUUGCUUAAUUGCUAGUCUCUCAAAAGGGAAAAAUGGUUAAAAGCAGCAGGAUGGGAAACACCAGGAGGAGAUUUUCAUCACUUAGCUGUGUAUAAGUGAAGAAAAUGGCUUUGAGAGGGAAAAUAGAUGUAUAUAUAGUACACUAUAUAGGGACAUGCAGUUUUUCCUUUACGGAUAUGAACAGAUUCAACAUUGUAAGCAAAGUGAAGACAAAUUAAUACAAGACUUUAAAGAUGGAUUUUAGGAAAGUUUCAGUUUGAGUAGACAGUUGGAAUAGCCCCAAUAUAUGAAAUGAAGGGAACCUUAUCUGUCAUUGUAAUGGGCUGAGACUCAAAACAGGGGUCUUAAACAGCAAUUGCACAAUGGAAUGGAAAAUUGCCAGUUUAGGAGAGUUCCAACAUGUAGCUGAACAUUUUCAAUGAGCUUUAAAAAGGAAACUAGCUGAAAAUUAAACCAAACUUAUCACCCUUCAGAUAAAGUAACUGGCUCCAAGUUAAAAAUACCAAAAGUCCUCUGUUCUUUAAAAAUAAAGAGCCUAUGGCUAGGAACACCUGUAGAUGUUGUAAGCAGAAAAGCCAGUGAAGGAAACAAUGGGCGAUAUUUUGAACAAAAUAUGAAAGAAACAGAGUUAUCCAAGAUUUGUCCCUGCUGUAAGAGAAAACUCAGCACCCAGCAAUUUUCUGUCAUUCCUCUAAAGUCCCAAGGGGAAUUGUCUAUAAAUACAGAUGGACAACAAUGCAGCUUUUAUGUUACUAAACAUGCCGCCUAUCUAUCAUUAAUUCUACUUCCGUAGAAUAUCAGAUUGCUCAGAAAAACAUUUUAAAGUUGAAGAGCCAGAGGAAAGAUGAAUUGACUUGUACUACAAGUUCAGAAGAGGGGAAAGGGAGUUUUGUCUUAAAGUGAAAAUGUUUGGUUGUGCAAUAAUGUGAAAGAAAAUAGUAACAAGCAAACUUGAGGGUGUAUGUAAGUUGUAGAAGGCUUGAUGAAAAGUGGACUUUACUUGGCCUUGUUUUACUAAAGCAAUUCAGAAGUGGGACUUUCUAUCAAUCCCAAAUCUUUUCACCAGACUCAAUAUUUAAAUGUUACUUUGGGACUACUAUGAGAACAUUCCUUUCUUCUUUGUGACAUAAGUCCUAUCUUACAUGGAAUUUCCAGAUAAAAUAAAGCAGAAGGGUUAUUUUUAAGGCUCCCUAAAAUUUUCCCUCAUGUAUACACUUACUAACUGGUCUAUGCAUUGGAAAACUUUCACUAUAUAAAAUUCAAGAAAUAACUACAGAAUUAUCUAUGGUCCACAGAUGAGGUCAGAAUAUUUGCAAUAAAGGCCAUAAGAAUCCAUUGACUCGUUCAAGGUUAUCAUAAAAGUUCAGUUAUAUAGGUGUGUGAAAAGAUAAAGCUCUUCUCCCUAGGGGCCAUAACAGCAUGAAAAUUGUCAAAGAGCCAUUGCAUGUUCUCCUUGUUUCAAAGAUAUGGUAGUCUCAGCUAAUUUUGUUAAAACCUUUUCAGAUCAUCUUUCCCAAUCUGUGAACUGCCUUUUAAUUAUCUUACUGUUGUCUUUCAAAAAGUUUUAAUUUUAAUAAAUUCCAAGUUAUAAAUUUUUUUUGUUUCAUGGUUCAUGCAUUCUAUAUCCUAAGAAAAUCUUUGCUAAUCUCAAGACAGCAAAUGUCUAUUUUUUUUUUUCUAGAAUUUCUAGGUUUAGCUUUUGUUUAGGUCUAUCAUCCAUUUUAAAAUCUAAAUUUUUCACUAAAAUUAUGUAUGUGAUGUAAAAGUCGAGGUUCAUUUCUCAUAUGAAUAUAUACUUAUUCCAUUUGUUGAAAAGAUGCUUUUCCUCUUUGCUUUGGUGCCUUUUUGUUUUGUUUUCUUUUCUUUUUAGACAGGGUCUCACCCUUUUGCCCAGACUGGAGUGCAAUCACAGCUCAGUGCAGCCUCAACCUCUCCAGGCUCAGGUGAUCCUCCCAUCUCAGUCUCCCAAGCACGUGGGACUACAGGCACACACCACCACACACAGCUCAUUGUGCCUUUGUCAAAAAUCAAUUGUCCAUAUAUGCAUGGGUCCAUUUUUGAACUCUAUUCUGUCCAUUGGUCCUUAACAUUUCUUAUAAAACAUGUCCAUUGGCAAUCAAUUGUCUCAUCUUUUCUCUGAGUCUUCUCACUUUUUGAAGAUUUCUGCUGAAUAUCAAAUUCUAGGUAAACCGGUUAUUUUUUCAGCACUUUUAAGAUAGCAUGCCAAGGUCUCUAACUUGCUGUUUAAGAAAAAUAGGUAGCUAUUCUUAUCUUGGUUUCUCUGCAUGAAUGUACCUUUAUUUUUUUCCUCCAGCUGCUUUUGCAACUUUCUCUGGUUUUCAACAAUUUCAUUAUGAUGUACCUUGAUCAGACUUUUUUCUCUGUGUUACCUUGUUUGUUGAAUUUCUUGUAAUCUGUGGGCUUAUAGUUUUCAUCAACUAGGACACUUUUCAGCCAUUAUUUCUUAACAUACUAUUUUUGUUUCCACUACUCCAACUUCUAGGACACAAAAUACAAGUAUAUUAGAAUAGUUGAUAUUAUCCCAUAGGUGGCUAAGACACUGUCCUGUUUUUUUCUCUCUCUUUGUAUCUUAGCAUGCUUUUAAAUUCACUGAUUUUCAGUUCUGUAGAGACCUAUCUGCUAUAAUUUCAUCUAUUCCUUCUUACCUAGCUAGUGACCAAAGAGGCCAAAUAGCAGCAGUGAUUAAAAAAUAAAUGAAUAAAUCUUACACAUACUUAAAAUAAAGGUAUAAGGCCAGGCACAGUGGCUCACGCCUGUAAUCUCGGCACUUUGGGAGGCCGAGACGGGCGGAUUGCCUGAGGUCAGGAGUUCGAGACCAGCCUGGCUAACAUGGUGAAACCCUGUCUCUACUAAAAAUACAAAAAAAAAUUAGCUGGGCAUGGUGGUGCACACCUG
RNAcentral lists this long non-coding RNA (8002 nucleotides) under Homo sapiens (human). RNAcentral's name for it is "HSALNT0045707". Lineage: Eukaryota; Metazoa; Chordata; Mammalia; Primates; Hominidae. The record is from RNAcentral.